AGCGAACGCUGGCGGCAGGCUUAACACAUGCAAGUCGAGCGGGCCCUUCGGGGUCAGCGGCGGACGGGUGAGUAACGCGUGGGAACGUGCCUUCUGGUCUGGAAUAACCCUGGGAAACUAGGGCUAAUACCGGAUACGCCCUUUUGGGGAAAGGUUUACUGCCGGAAGAUCGGCCCGCGUCUGAUUAGCUAGGUGGUGGGGUAACGGCCUACCAAGGCGACGAUCAGUAGCUGGUCUGAGAGGAUGAUCAGCCACACUGGGACUGAGACACGGCCCAGACUCCUACGGGAGGCAGCAGUGGGGAAUAUUGGACAAUGGGCGCAAGCCUGAUCCAGCCAUGCCGCGUGAGUGAUGAAGGCCUUAGGGUUGUAAAGCUCUUUUAUCCGGGACGAUAAUGACGGUACCGGAGGAAUAAGCCCCGGCUAACUUCGUG
RNAcentral lists this ribosomal RNA (433 nucleotides) under uncultured bacterium. Its description in RNAcentral is "partial 16S ribosomal RNA". It matches the Rfam family "Bacterial small subunit ribosomal RNA", at positions 29 to 507 of the family's 1533-position model. The record is from RNAcentral.